UCAGAGUGGUACUCGCUUCUCCUGCGAUC
RNAcentral lists this non-coding RNA (29 nucleotides) under Rattus norvegicus (Norway rat). Lineage: Eukaryota; Metazoa; Chordata; Mammalia; Rodentia; Muridae. The record is from RNAcentral.